GAUGAACGCUGGCGGCGUGCCUAAUACAUGCAAGUCGAGCGAACAGACGAGGAGCUUGCUCCUCUGACGUUAGCGGCGGAUGGGUGUGUAACACGUGGAUAACCUACCUAUAAGACUGGGAUAACUUCGGGAAACCGGAGCUAAUACCGGAUAAUAUAUUGAACCGCAUGGUUCAAUAGUGAAAGACGGUUUUGCUGUCACUUAUAGAUGGAUCCGCGCCGCAUUAGCUAGUUGGUAAGGUAACGGCUUACCAAGGCGACGAUGCGUAGCCGACCUGAGAGGGUGAUCGGCCACACUGGAACUGAGACACGGUCCAGACUCCUACGGGAGGCAGCAGUAGGGAAUCUUCCGCAAUGGGCGAAAGCCUGACGGAGCAACGCUGCGUGAGUGAUGAAGGUCUUCGGAUCGUAAAACUCUGUUAUUAGGGAAGAACAAAUGUGUAAGUAACUAUGCACGUCUUGACGGUACCUAAUCAGAAAGCCGCGGCUAACUACGUG
RNAcentral lists this ribosomal RNA (497 nucleotides) under uncultured bacterium. RNAcentral's name for it is "partial 16S ribosomal RNA". It matches the Rfam family "Bacterial small subunit ribosomal RNA", at positions 28 to 507 of the family's 1533-position model. The record is from RNAcentral.